RNAcentral lists this ribosomal RNA (484 nucleotides) under uncultured bacterium. Its description in RNAcentral is "partial 16S ribosomal RNA". It matches the Rfam family "Bacterial small subunit ribosomal RNA", at positions 30 to 507 of the family's 1533-position model. The record is from RNAcentral.
AUUGAACGCUGGCGGCAUGCCUAACACAUGCAAGUCGAGCGGCAGCAGGGGUCUUUCCCCUUGAUUCCGCGUCGCGCGCGUGUGUGUUACACAUGAGUCUGCCUGCUGGAGUGGGAUAAAGUCCGGCAACGGCCGCUUUUAUACCAUACGCCCUGUGGGGGAGAGUGGGGGGUACUCGGACCUCUCGCUCUCUGAUGAUCCCAGGUCGGAUUAGCUAGUUGGUGGGGUAAAGGCCUACCAAGGCGACGAUCAGUAACUGGUCUGAGAGGAUGAUCAGCCACACUGGGACUGAGACACGGCCCAGACUCCUACGGGAGGCAGCAGUGGGGAAUUUUGGACAAUGGGCGAAAGCCUGAUCCAGCAAUGCCGCGUGUGUGAAGAAGGCCUUCGGGUUGUAAAGCACUUUUAUUUGGAAAGAAGGGCAGGAAGUUAAUACCGUCGGGGGAUGACGGUACCAGAAGAAUAAGCACCGGCUAACUUCGUG